GUUUGAUCAUGGCUCAGAUUGAACGCUGGCGGCAGGCCUAACACAUGCAAGUCGAACGGUAACAGGAAGCAGCUUGCUGCUUCGCUGACGAGUGGCGGACGGGUGAGUAAUGUCUGGGAAGCUGCCUGAUGGAGGGGGAUAACUACUGGAAACGGUAGCUAAUACCGCAUAAUGUCGCAAGACCAAAGAGGGGGACCUUCGGGCCUCUUGCCAUCGGAUGUGCCCAGAUGGGAUUAGCUUGUUGGUGGGGUAACGGCUCACCAAGGCGACGAUCCCUAGCUGGUCUGAGAGGAUGACCAGCCACACUGGAACUGAGACACGGUCCAGACUCCUACGGGAGGCAGCAGUGGGGAAUAUUGCACAAUGGGCGCAAGCCUGAUGCAGCCAUGCCGCGUGUAUGAAGAAGGCCUUCGGGUUGUAAAGUACUUUCAGCGGGGAGGAAGGGAGUAAAGUUAAUACCUUUGCUCAUUGACGUUACCCGCAGAAGAAGCACCGGCUAACUCCGUGCCAGCAGCCGCGGUAAUACGGAGGGUGCAAGCGUUAAUCGGAAUUACUGGGCGUAAAGCGCACGCAGGCGGUUUGUUAAGUCAGAUGUGAAAUCCCCGGGCUCAACCUGGGAACUGCAUCUGAUACUGGCAAGCUUGAGUCUCGUAGAGGGGGGUAGAAUUCCAGGUGUAGCGGUGAAAUGCGUAGAGAUCUGGAGGAAUACCGGUGGCGAAGGCGGCCCCCUGGACGAAGACUGACGCUCAGGUGCGAAAGCGUGGGGAGCAAACAGGAUUAGAUACCCUGGUAGUCCACGCCGUAAACGAUGUCGACUUGGAGGUUGUGCCCUUGAGGCGUGGCUUCCGGAGCUAACGCGUUAAGUCGACCGCCUGGGGAGUACGGCCGCAAGGUUAAAACUCAAAUGAAUUGACGGGGGCCCGCACAAGCGGUGGAGCAUGUGGUUUAAUUCGAUGCAACGCGAAGAACCUUACCUGGUCUUGACAUCCACGGAAGUUUUCAGAGAUGAGAAUGUGCCUUCGGGAACCGUGAGACAGGUGCUGCAUGGCUGUCGUCAGCUCGUGUUGUGAAAUGUUGGGUUAAGUCCCGCAACGAGCGCAACCCUUAUCCUUUGUUGCCAGCGGUCCGGCCGGGAACUCAAAGGAGACUGCCAGUGAUAAACUGGAGGAAGGUGGGGAUGACGUCAAGUCAUCAUGGCCCUUACGACCAGGGCUACACACGUGCCACAAUGGCGCAUACAAAGAGAAGCGACCUCGCGAGAGCAAGCGGACCUCAUAAAGUGCGUCGUAGUCCGGAUUGGAGUCUGCAACUCGACUCCAUGAAGUCGGAAUCGCUAGUAAUCGUGGAUCAGAAUGCCACGGUGAAUACGUUCCCGGGCCUUGUACACACCGCCCGUCACACCAUGGGAGUGGGUUGCAAAAGAAGUAGGUAGCUUAACCUUCGGGAGGGCGCUUACCACUUUGUGAUUCAUGACUGGGGUGAAGUCGUAACAAGGUAACCGUAGGGGAA
RNAcentral lists this ribosomal RNA (1509 nucleotides) under metagenome. RNAcentral's name for it is "bacterial SSU rRNA". It matches the Rfam family "Bacterial small subunit ribosomal RNA". The record is from RNAcentral.